AAAGUGGGAAAAGUUCGCACUGAGCUGCAUUAAAUCCUGCUGGGAAGCUGAAGGCUGAUUAUUAAACAUGAAUUCAAAUACUGAGACCGUUUUGGAUUUUAAUGUUAUAUGUUGUUGUGUUAUCUGUAAUGCUUUUAAGAAAACAUUUUAAAUGAUUUUACUGAGUUAACAUUUGCAAUAUUUUAAAUGUGGCGGUGUGUCUUGGUGCACAUUCAGA
Long non-coding RNA from Thalassophryne amazonica, 217 nucleotides. RefSeq lists it as uncharacterized. The transcript has 3 exons. The record is from RefSeq and is a predicted model, not a curated record. NCBI's taxonomy places the organism in Eukaryota, Metazoa, Chordata, Actinopteri, Batrachoidiformes, Batrachoididae.